GACGAACGCUGGCGGCGUGCUUAACACAUGCAAGUCGAACGGAGCGAAUGAAAGCUUGCUUUUAUAAGCUUAGUGGCAAACGGGUGAGUAACACGUAGACAACCUGCCGACAGGAUGGGGACAACAUUCCGAAAGGAAUGCUAAUACCGAAUGAAGUGCAGGGGAGGCAUCUCCUCUGCAUGAAAGAUGGCCUCUUUUUAUGCUAUCACCUGUUGAUGGGUCUGCGUCUGAUUAGCUGGUAGGUGAGGUAACGGCUCACCUAGGCGACGAUCAGUAGCCGGUCUGAGAGGAUGAACGGCCACAUUGGGACUGAGACACGGCCCAGACUCCUACGGGAGGCAGCAGUGGGGAAUCUUCCGCAAUGGGCGCAAGCCUGACGGAGCAACGCCGCGUGAGUGAAGAAGGUCUUCGGAUCGUAAAGCUCUGUUGAUGGGGACGAACGUGCCUAAUGCGAAUAGUUUUAGGCAAUGACGGACCCAUCGAGAGCCC
This 489-nucleotide ribosomal RNA is filed under the name Centipeda noxia. Its description in RNAcentral is "bacterial SSU rRNA". It matches the Rfam family "Bacterial small subunit ribosomal RNA", at positions 28 to 493 of the family's 1533-position model. The record is from RNAcentral. Lineage: Bacteria; Bacillati; Bacillota; Negativicutes; Selenomonadales; Selenomonadaceae.